GGCAAACGUGCUGCGUGCCGUAAUACGCAGACAACAUUCCACGUAACCGGAGCUGCAAUGACACUCGUUUCCGAAAGACAAAAAGCCCUCAAAGAUCCAUAAAGUCGAACGCACUUUAAUGUCACUGGGCGACGUGGGUAUAUGGACCACCUCUUCACCAUUUUCCCGAAUCGGAUUCUCAGGAUUCUCAAGGAACGCUCUCUGCCUCGUUCAUAACCCCCUUUAGCUCGAUUUUCUCCUAACCAGAGACACCAGGGUGACUACCCUCUGCUUUUUUUUUUAUAGGAAAAAAAAAAAAGGUAAGUCAGAUGUUGUGACCAGACAAAUCAGACAGAUGUGUCCAGGCAGUUCUUUGUUGCUUCCUAACAGGGCUUCUGAAAAUGUACCGGACAGUGGAAGGAACCAGCGCUGGGCUAAGUGUGUGACUGUGUGGCAUCCGAAGGGAGCUACCUCGAUGGCGACUAAGUUUCACAUUUUAAAAUAUAAUUCCGUUCUGCGUACUUUUGACCAAAUUUCAUAAUGGCCAGCACAGAAGGACCCCUUGUGCUCGCAGGAAUGAAGAGCUAUUACACGCAUAGUGAUUCAGCACAGAGAACACACGGAACGUGAAAUUAAACCACUUCGCGAGGUGACAUUCGUGGUGAAGAAAAUAAUAUUUUGUCUGCUAUUAGGAAUAAUAGUUACUUUGAUUCGCACUGCGUACGUAGGACAACUUUCG
Ornithodoros turicata is the source of this 718-nucleotide long non-coding RNA. RefSeq lists it as uncharacterized. The transcript is spliced from 3 exons. NCBI's taxonomy places the organism in Eukaryota, Metazoa, Arthropoda, Arachnida, Ixodida, Argasidae. The record is from RefSeq and is a predicted model, not a curated record.